RNAcentral lists this ribosomal RNA (768 nucleotides) under uncultured organism. RNAcentral describes it as "SSU rRNA". It matches the Rfam family "Bacterial small subunit ribosomal RNA", at positions 700 to 1468 of the family's 1533-position model. The record is from RNAcentral.
GGAGGAAUACCGGUGGCGAAGGCGGCCCCCUGGACAAAGACUGACGCUCAGGUGCGAAAGCGUGGGGAGCAAACAGGAUUAGACACCCUGGUAGUCCACGCCGUAAACGAUGUCGACUUGGAGGUUGUGCCCUUGAGGCGUGGCUUCCGGAGCUAACGCGUUAAGUCGACCGCCUGGGGAGUACGGCCGCAAGGUUAAAACUCAAAUGAAUUGACGGGGGCCCGCACAAGCGGUGGAGCAUGUGGUUUAAUUCGAUGCAACGCGAAGAACCUUACCUACUCUUGACAUCCAGAGAACUUAGCAGAGAUGCUUUGGUGCCUUCGGGAACUCUGAGACAGGUGCUGCAUGGCUGUCGUCAGCUCGUGUUGUGAAAUGUUGGGUUAAGUCCCGCAACGAGCGCAACCCUUAUCCUUUGUUGCCAGCGGUCCGGCCGGGAACUCAAAGGAGACUGCCAGUGAUAAACUGGAGGAAGGUGGGGAUGACGUCAAGUCAUCAUGGCCCUUACGAGUAGGGCUACACACGUGCUACAAUGGCGCAUACAAAGAGAAGCGACCUCGCGAGAGCAAGCGGACCUCAUAAAGUGCGUCGUAGUCCGGAUUGGAGUCUGCAACUCGACUCCAUGAAGUCGGAAUCGCUAGUAAUCGUGGAUCAGAAUGCCACGGUGAAUACGUUCCCGGGCCUUGUACACACCGCCCGUCACACCAUGGGAGUGGGUUGCAAAAGAAGUAGGUAGCUUAACCUUCGGGAGGGCGCUUACCACUUUGUGAU